This 58-nucleotide ribosomal RNA is filed under the name Oenococcus oeni. Lineage: Bacteria; Bacillati; Bacillota; Bacilli; Lactobacillales; Lactobacillaceae. The record is from RNAcentral.
UGUCGUGUUAAUUCCGAUGAGGCCACACCUGUUCCCAUUCCGAACACAGAAGUUAAGC